GACGAACCGUGCGAACGUUAUUCGGAAUCACUGGGCUUAAAGGGCGCGUAGGCGGGCCGAUCAGUCCGGGGUGAAAUCCCACGGCCCAACCGUGGAAGUGCCUCUGAUACUGUCGGCCUCGAGGGGGAUAGGGGCGUGCGGAACUCAGGGUGGAGCGGUGAAAUGCGUAGAUAUCUGGAGGAAUACCGGUGGCGAAGGCGGCAUCCUGGACCGACAUUGACGCUGAGGAGCGAAAGCUAGGGGAGCAAACGGG
This 253-nucleotide ribosomal RNA is filed under the name uncultured bacterium. Its description in RNAcentral is "partial 16S ribosomal RNA". It matches the Rfam family "Bacterial small subunit ribosomal RNA", at positions 524 to 776 of the family's 1533-position model. The record is from RNAcentral.